RNAcentral lists this ribosomal RNA (764 nucleotides) under uncultured Staphylococcus sp. RNAcentral's name for it is "bacterial SSU rRNA". It matches the Rfam family "Bacterial small subunit ribosomal RNA", at positions 96 to 846 of the family's 1533-position model. The record is from RNAcentral. Lineage: Bacteria; Bacillati; Bacillota; Bacilli; Caryophanales; Staphylococcaceae.
CGGCGGACGGGUGAGUAACACGUGGAUAACCUACCUAUAAGACUGGGAUAACUUCGGGAAACCGGAGCUAAUACCGGAUAAUAUAUUGAACCGCAUGGUUCAAUAGUGAAAGACGGUUUUGCUGUCACUUAUAGAUGGAUCCGCGCCGCAUUAGCUAGUUGGUAAGGUAACGGCUUACCAAGGCAACGAUGCGUAGCCGACCUGAGAGGGUGAUCGGCCACACUGGAACUGAGACACGGUCCAGACUCCUACGGGAGGCAGCAGUAGAGAAUCUUCCGCAAUGGGCGAAAGCCUGACGGAGCAACGCCGCGUGAGUGAUGAAGGUCUUCGGAUCGUAAAACUCUGUUAUUAGGGAAGAACAAAUGUGUAAGUAACUAUGCACGUCUUGACGGUACCUAAUCAGAAAGCCAUGGCUAACUACGUGCCAGCAGCCGCGGUAAUACGUAGGUGGCAAGCGUUAUCCGGAAUUAUUGGGCGUAAAGCGCGCGUAGGCGGUUUUUUAAGUCUGAUGUGAAAGCCCACGGCUCAACCGUGGAGGGUCAUUGGAAACUGGAAAACUUGAGUGCAGAAGAGGAAAGUGGAAUUCCAUGUGUAGCGGUGAAAUGCGCAGAGAUAUGGAGGAACACCAGUGGCGAAGGCGACUUUCUGGUCUGUAACUGACGCUGAUGUGCGAAAGCGUGGGGAUCAAACAGGAUUAGAUACCCUGGUAGUCCACGCCGUAAACGAUGAGUGCUAAGUGUUAGGGGGUUUCCGCCCCUUAGUGC